This 73-nucleotide transfer RNA is filed under the name Marmota monax (woodchuck). Its description in RNAcentral is "tRNA.Ala". Lineage: Eukaryota; Metazoa; Chordata; Mammalia; Rodentia; Sciuridae. The record is from RNAcentral.
AUGGUUGUGGUUCCGCGGUAGAGCACUCGCCUAGCAUGUGCAAGGCUCUGGGUUCGAUCCUCAGCAACACAUG